This 449-nucleotide ribosomal RNA is filed under the name uncultured bacterium. RNAcentral describes it as "partial 16S ribosomal RNA". It matches the Rfam family "Bacterial small subunit ribosomal RNA", at positions 29 to 523 of the family's 1533-position model. The record is from RNAcentral.
AGCGAACGCUGGCGGCGGGCCUAACACAUGCAAGUCGAACGAAGUCUUCGGACUUAGUGGCGGACGGGUGAGUAACACGUGGGAACGUACCUUUUGGUUCGGAACAACUCAGGGAAACUUGAGCUAAUACCGGAUAAGCCCUUCGGGGGAAAGAUUUAUCGCCAUUAGAGCGGCCCGCGUUAGAUUAGCUAGUUGGUGAGGUAAAGGCUCACCAAGGCUACGAUCUAUAGCUGGUCUGAGAGGAUGAUCAGCCACACUGGGACUGAGACACGGCCCAGACUCCUACGGGAGGCAGCAGUGGGGAAUCUUGCGCAAUGGGCGAAAGCCUGACGCAGCCAUGCCGCGUGAAUGAUGAAGGUCUUAGGAUUGUAAAAUUCUUUUACCAGGGACGAUAAUGACGGUACCUGGAGAAAAAGCCCCGGCUAACUUCGUGCCAGCCGCCGCCGUAA